Pantherophis guttatus is the source of this 983-nucleotide RNA transcript. It is a transcript of the gene named EEF1A lysine methyltransferase 1, with no coding region annotated. The record is from RefSeq and is a predicted model, not a curated record. Lineage: Eukaryota; Metazoa; Chordata; Lepidosauria; Squamata; Colubridae.
UCUCCUUCCGCGCUAGAGGGCGCCGGAGCGGGCUGGGUUACCGGGCGGAGGAAAGGCGGAGCUCCGGGAGAGAAGAGGCGGGCGGGAGCCCAGAGGCCUAGGCUGCUGAAAUGAGUAAUGAUGAUGAUGAUGUUCCUCAGCUUUCAUCUGAAGCUUUAGCUGCUCUGCAGGAGUUCUAUGUCGAGCAACAGCAGAGAGAAGCUAAGACUACUGAUAAAACUCAAAGUUAUUCGGUUGGCUCUAUUGAAGAGAACUGGCAACUGAGCCAGUUUUGGUAUGAUCCUGAGACGGCAUUUUGUUUAGCUAAUGAGGCCAUAAGAGCAGCUGGGAAAGGUGGCAGGAUAGCUUGUGUCAGUGCCCCGAGUGUUUAUCAGAAACUGAAAGAGCAGGACUGCCAAGGUUUUUCAACCUGCAUUUUGGAGUAUGACCAGAGAUUUUCUGUGUAUGGAACCGAGUAUGUUUUCUACGAUUACAACAGUCCUUUGAAACUUCCAACCCACCUUGAAGCACAUAGUUUUGAUAUUGUCUUAGCAGAUCCACCCUACCUAUCUGAAGAAUGUCUCCAAAAAAUAGCAGAAACCAUCAAAUACUUAACUAAAGGAAAGAUUCUGCUCUGCACAGCAUCCCCAUGGUCAUGUGAUGAAAAUUCAGAUGCUUAACAACUUACCCAUACUUAUGGCAGUUGCAAUGUCUCGGGGUCAUGUGAUCACCUUUUGUUACCUUCUGACAAGAAAAGUCAAUUGGGAUGACAGAUAUUUAACAACCAUGAUGCUAACUGAACAACUACAGUGAUUCACUUAACAAAUAUGGUUUAAUCAUGGAAGAAUAUGCUGCUAAAUAUCUUGGUGUGAAAAUGUGCAAGUUUAUUCCAAAACAUGCUCGAAAUUUAGCUAAUGAAUUUCGAUGCUAUGUGAAUUAUGAUUCUGGACUGGAUGUGGAUUCUCUCUCUUGAUAACCCAAUAAAUAUUAAUAGGAUUUUUCAA